This 378-nucleotide ribosomal RNA is filed under the name uncultured eukaryote. RNAcentral describes it as "partial 18S ribosomal RNA". It matches the Rfam family "Eukaryotic small subunit ribosomal RNA", at positions 592 to 976 of the family's 1831-position model. The record is from RNAcentral.
CAAUAGCGUAUAUUUAAGUUGUUGCAGUUAAAAAGCUCGUAGUUGGAUUUCGGGUGGGACGCAGCGGUCUCGCAUUGCGUUUGUACUGCUGCAGCCCUCCUUCUUGCCGGGGGCGGUCUCUCGGACUUCACUGUCUGGGGGUCAGAAUCGGCGAUGUUACUUUGAGUAAAUUAGAGUGUUCAAAGCAAGCUUACGCUCUGAAUAUAAUAGCAUGGGAUAACACGACAGGACUCUGGCCUAUCGUGUUGGUCUAUAGGACCAGAGUAAUGAUUAAGAGGGACAGUCGGGGGCAUUCGUAUUCCGUUGUCAGAGGUGAAAUUCUUGGAUUUACGGAAGACGAACAUCUGCGAAAGCAUUUGCCAAGGAUGUUUUCAUUGA